This 331-nucleotide long non-coding RNA is filed under the name Aquilegia coerulea. RNAcentral's name for it is "long non-coding RNA (ACOE_LNC001273)". The record is from RNAcentral. Lineage: Eukaryota; Viridiplantae; Streptophyta; Magnoliopsida; Ranunculales; Ranunculaceae.
UUGAUAAUAUCUGAUGAAUGUUUAUGUGUGUUUUUGUCGCACGGAUUUUUCUUUUGCAGACCAGUAUCGUUUAAACAUCAGCUCAAAAAUGUAUGAUUUUGAUUUGAGUUUUUUUUUUUUAUUUUAUUUGUUCUAAAAAUUGUAUGCAGUAGUGAUAUAUGAAUGUUUUUUGGCAGCUUCGCUUUCUCUUGUCCAUCGCUUUCUCCCCUUCACUCGUCUUUACUUUCUCUCGUCAUUUGCUUUUCAAGGUUGGUUAUUUCUUUUACCAUGUAUUAGUGCAGAUUAGAAAACAUGUUUUUGUCAGCAGUAGGUAUCUGUAUAUGCAGUAGGU